Leopardus geoffroyi (Geoffroy's cat) is the source of this 103-nucleotide small nuclear RNA. Lineage: Eukaryota; Metazoa; Chordata; Mammalia; Carnivora; Felidae. The record is from RefSeq and is a predicted model, not a curated record.
GUGCUCACUUCAGCAGCACAUAUACUAAAGUUGGAAUGAUACAGAGAAUAUCAGCAUGGCCCCUAUGCAAGAACAGCACACCGAUUAUUUACUGACAAUCUCU